AGGACGAACGCUGGCGGCGUGCCUAACACAUGCAAGUCGAACGCGCUCCAUUCGGUAGCAAUACUGAUGAAGAGCGAGUGGCGAACGGGUGAGUAGCACGUGAGCAACCUGCCCCGAAGACUGGGACAACACCGGGAAACCGGUGCUAAUACCGGAUAUCCCUAUCGGACCGCAUGAUCUGAUAAGGAAAUGGAUUCCGCUUCGGGAGGGGCUCGCGGCCUAUCAGCUAGUUGGUGAGGUAACGGCCCACCAAGGCAUCGACGGGUAGCUGGUCUGAGAGGACGAUCAGCCACACUGGGACUGAGACACGGCCCAGACUCCUACGGGAGGCAGCAGUGGGGAAUCUUGCGCAAUGGGCGAAAGCCUGACGCAGCAACGCCGCGUGGAGGACGAAGGCUUUCUGAGUUGUAAACUCCUUUCAGCAGGGACGAUAGUGACGGUACCUGCAGAAGAAGCACCGGCCAACUACGUGCCAGCAGCCGA
This 483-nucleotide ribosomal RNA is filed under the name uncultured bacterium. RNAcentral describes it as "SSU rRNA". It matches the Rfam family "Bacterial small subunit ribosomal RNA", at positions 26 to 518 of the family's 1533-position model. The record is from RNAcentral.